UAUCCGUGGUGGGGACACUGAUUGAACAAAUCUUUGAACCUUUCCCAUUAUUGGUAAAGAGUUUCAUGUUCUUUUUGAGUAAAGGAAAUUUGUCUUUUAAGGUA
Small nucleolar RNA from Humulus lupulus (European hop), 104 nucleotides. The record is from RefSeq and is a predicted model, not a curated record. Lineage: Eukaryota; Viridiplantae; Streptophyta; Magnoliopsida; Rosales; Cannabaceae.